AAACAAAAGAGAGUUCUCGCCAGUGACUUCGGCGCAACAGGACACAAACCUGAAUUGCUUUAGAUUGGAAACGUGAGGCUUUGAAGGAAGGAAAGACAUUCGUGAAUUAGCUUGCUUGGAUUCGAUUCUUCGAUUGAGCGAGUGUUCCACAGACUUCGACUCGACCUCAGCUCUAGUCCGUCUCAAGUUCAUUGGAUUUAAGGGUGAGCAAUCCUUCUAGCUCGUGAUGGAUUCUUUAGUCAUGACAUGAUGUCCUUAGUGUUCGGACACGAACUAUGUCACUUAUUUUAUUUUAGUGUUUGACAUUCUAGACUUAGUAUUUUAGAAUUAUAUGUCCUUGAUGUGAUGACUUUCAGAUUUUAGGGAACGUUAUGUAGUAAACUCUUGUCGAUUGUUAUUUCUUACUUUAUAAGUUUGAGCUUCCGCGUUAUUAUUAUACUUUAUAAGUUGGGGUUCACAUCGUUGGU
Molecule: long non-coding RNA, 467 nt
Organism: Solanum dulcamara
Lineage: Eukaryota; Viridiplantae; Streptophyta; Magnoliopsida; Solanales; Solanaceae
Exons: 3
Source: RefSeq, a predicted model, not a curated record